RNAcentral lists this ribosomal RNA (110 nucleotides) under Stenotrophomonas maltophilia group sp. RNC7. RNAcentral's name for it is "partial 23S ribosomal RNA". It matches the Rfam family "Bacterial large subunit ribosomal RNA", at positions 2819 to 2925 of the family's 2925-position model. Lineage: Bacteria; Pseudomonadati; Pseudomonadota; Gammaproteobacteria; Lysobacterales; Lysobacteraceae. The record is from RNAcentral.
GCACAAGCCCCCUGAAGGAACCAUGUAGACUACGUGGUUGAUAGGUCAGGUGUGUAAGUACAGCAAUGUAUUGAGCUAACUGAUACUAAUGAUCCGUGCGGCUUGACCAU